GAGUUAUGUCAUGUUAUCGAUAUGUGAAUACAUAGCAUAUCAGAAGGCACACCCGGAGAACUGAAACAUCUUAGUACCCGGAGGAAGAAAAAGAAAAUUCGAUUCCCUUAGUAGCGGCGAGCGAAACGGGAAGAGCCCAAACCAACAAGCUUGCUUGUUGGGGUUGUAGGACACUCUAUACGGAGUUACAAAGGACGACAUUAGACGAAUCAUCUGGAAAGAUGAAUCAAAGAAGGUAAUAAUCCUGUAGUCGAAAAUGUUGUCUCUCUUGAGUGGAUCCUGAGUACGACGGAACACGUGAAAUUCCGUCGGAAUCUGGGAGGACCAUCUCCUAAGGCUAAAUACUCUCUAGUGACCGAUAGUGAACCAGUACCGUGAGGGAAAGGUGAAAAGCACCCCGGAAGGGGAGUGAAAUAGAACCUGAAACCGUGUGCUUACAAGUAGUCAGAGCCCGUUAAUGGGUGAUGGCGUGCCUUUUGUAGAAUGAACCGGCGAGUUACGAUUUGAUGCAAGGUUAAGCAGUAAAUGUGGAGCCGUAGCGAAAGCGAGUCUGAAUAGGGCGUUUAGUAUUUGGUCGUAGACCCGAAACCAGGUGAUCUACCCUUGGUCAGGUUGAAGUUCAGGUAACACUGAAUGGAGGACCGAACCGACUUACGUUGAAAAGUGAGCGGAUGAACUGAGGGUAGCGGAGAAAUUCCAAUCGAACCUGGAGAUAGCUGGUUCUCUCCGAAAUAGCUUUAGGGCUAGCCUCAAGUGAUGAUUAUUGGAGGUAGAGCACUGUUUGGACGAGGGGCCCCUCUCGGGUUACCGAAUUCAGACAAACUCCGAAUGCCAAUUAAUUUAACUUGGGAGUCAGAACAUGGGUGAUAAGGUCCGUGUUCGAAAGGGAAACAGCCCAGACCACCAGCUAAGGUCCCAAAAUAUAUGUUAAGUGGAAAAGGAUGUGGCGUUGCCCAGACAACUAGGAUGUUGGCUUAGAAGCAGCCAUCAUUUAAAGAGUGCGUAAUAGCUCACUAGUCGAGUGACACUGCGCCGAAAAUGUACCGGGGCUAAACAUAUUACCGAAGCUGUGGAUUGUCCUUUGGACAAUGGUAGGAGAGCGUUCUAAGGGCGUUGAAGCAUGAUCGUAAGGACAUGUGGAGCGCUUAGAAGUGAGAAUGCCGGUGUGAGUAGCGAAAGACGGGUGAGAAUCCCGUCCACCGAUUGACUAAGGUUUCCAGAGGAAGGCUCGUCCGCUCUGGGUUAGUCGGGUCCUAAGCUGAGGCCGACAGGCGUAGGCGAUGGAUAACAGGUUGAUAUUCCUGUACCACCUAUAAUCGUUUUA
Molecule: ribosomal RNA, 1324 nt
Filed under: Staphylococcus aureus
Lineage: Bacteria; Bacillati; Bacillota; Bacilli; Caryophanales; Staphylococcaceae
Description: partial 23S ribosomal RNA
Rfam family: Bacterial large subunit ribosomal RNA
Source: RNAcentral